GGCCUGAGAAACGCGAAGUUCAUCAAAAAGUCAGAUAAAAAAAUCAGAAGAACAAGAAACAGAUUUCUGAGCUUGCCUGACAUUUCUCCAUCCCUGGUUUGAUUUUUAUCGAUAAAAGUGAUUUUGAGCGUACUGGAGGAAAGCAAUGCAGAGUACUCUAUACCAGGCAUUGGUCCAUUUUGCACUAGACCUGAUCAAGUGAUAUCUUGGAUUGAUGUAAGAAAAUACAUCCUAACACAAGACUUGAGAUCUGAAGAAUCUUGUGAAAAAGUAAUGGAGAAGAGUAUCACUUAGUAGAUAAGCCAUUGUACUGUCCACAAACCAAUGGUUUAACAGAACAUUUUCGUUUGAAUGAUGCCGAGUUUGCUGACCUGAUCAAACUUGUAUUUCUCAGCCAGGGGUGUAUGCAGACAUCAGGAACAGUGGCGCAUCGAUUCCUGAGCCGGCGGACCGUAGAUCCGGAGUCCCGGCAGUUCAUCCGGGAGCGGUACCAGGACACGUCGGUUGUCAUCUUCAAGGAGCAGCAGAAGAAAUACCAGGAGGAGUACCAACGUCGUCCUCCCAAACCCCAGGACGAGACUGACAAAGCGGAACCGAAAAUGGUCAAGUACGGUCGGUACGGUAACGAGAGUAUCACUGUGAGUCAUGUUGGGCAGGAUGUGGUGAAAAGGGACAACCAUGUUGUGCAGUCUACUGUGUGUUCUGUCAUGUAGCAUCAUGGCAGUGGUAUCAAAUAAAAAUGUCUACCCAGGAGACAUGUUCUUCAGUGUCAUAGUAUUCAGAAUAAUGAAGUGCACAUCUUUCUUAGCUAUCUCAGUUGUAAUAUCCAUUCCCAAAUAUUCAACACCAACAAAGAAUUGGGUAAUAGUUGUUCUUUUCCAUUCCAAGAAGAUUUGAGAUAAAACAUUUGUAUUCAGCAGGGCUGCCCAAUAUUACAUGUGUAGGUAUUGGAUUUUCAUCACCUAAUGUUCACCUUUGAUAUCAUGAUCUGUUGGUGUUCAGGUUGAAGGAGGCACAGAAUUGAGGUCUAUCCAUUCCCAGACAAGCAAGAAAAAAAGAGGGGGGGGGGUUCUUGAACAAAUGAAGGAUACAAUUGCAAAUAAAGAGGUUCUGAACCACCCCACCCUAAAAGGAUAAAAUUUGAAGGAUAAAAAUGACAAAAUAGUGAGAGGCAAUGCUGACUUGCAGCAAAAGAUAGAGCAGAUUCCCCCUGUGCUUAUACUCGCACCCUUAACCACACCUACCCCUUAAUAACUCAUUAUUUUCAAAAGGCAUAUCCUACAGUGGUAACAUGUCAACAUUGACAGUUGGGAAAACCUAAAGAUUUAUAUUUGAAUCUGUAAUUGCAUCUUUCUAUGUGAUAAGUACUGGUACUUUUCAUGAAACCUUGCAUACCAUUAUAUCAGCUGGUAUGAUAUUUGGUAUCACCGCUACUUCAGGAAGUGAUGUAUUUAUUUGAAUUACUUGAAUCUUUCUUGUACUCUGGUAUCACGCUGAAUUUGAUGUGCAGGUGUAAUCUUUGUUUUAUUCAAAAGUAAAGUUAAAAAUUAGAUUAUUACAGAGAGAUAAGAUUUGUUUACUUAAAUUAGCCCAAUUGAUUGAUACAUUAGUUUACAUUCUGUUUUCCUAUCUUGAAUUGUUCAUGUAGUAUUGUUCCUUGACUGUUUAGCAAUUCCAUGAUAUUUUCAACUUUUUGUUAUGUGUGGAUGUUGAUUAAUAGGGUCAGCUUUGUGUGAUGAAAUAUGAAAUUAUUAAAUGCAACAUGAAGUAUUUCAUUUUCAUGGGUGGUUAAACAUUCUAAUACACACUGAGACAAAGCAGACUAAAUAAUAAAAAAUAAUAUAAACAUGGCAAUUGGCAAAUAUGUAGGGAAUCUUUUCUACAGGUACAAAACUACAAACAGAUUUUUACUGAGUAAUGUGUACUACUGUACUAGUAUGCAUACAAAUUAUGAUGUUUGAUACGGGAAUUUUUAUAAAACAAACAUUCAAUAAAUCAAAGAUUUGUUUUGUUGAGGGUUUUUUCCCCCUAGCUUUUUGUGCUUAAGAUGUCUAAUAUCAUUGUACAUGUACUUAUUUAAUUAUGUGCCCUGCUACAAUAAUGACUUUAAAAA
Molecule: long non-coding RNA, 2113 nt
Filed under: Lytechinus variegatus (green sea urchin)
Lineage: Eukaryota; Metazoa; Echinodermata; Echinoidea; Temnopleuroida; Toxopneustidae
Description: uncharacterized LOC121429126
Source: RNAcentral